Molecule: ribosomal RNA, 440 nt
Filed under: uncultured bacterium
Lineage: Bacteria
Description: partial 16S ribosomal RNA
Rfam family: Bacterial small subunit ribosomal RNA
Source: RNAcentral
CCUACGGGUGGCAGCAGUGGGGGAUAUUGCACAAUGGGGGAAACCCUGAUGCAGCGACGCCGCGUGUGGGAAGACGGUCCUCUGGAUUGUAAACCACUGUCCCCAGGGACGAAGAUGACGGUACCUGGGGAGGAAGCUCCGGCUAACUACGUGCCAGCAGCCGCGGUGAUACGUAGGGAGCGAGCGUUGUCCGGAGUUACUGGGUGUCAAGGGAGCGUAGGCGGGGAUGCAAGUUGAGGGUAAAGACUACGGGAUCAACGGGUAGUCGCACUCGAUACUGCAGCUCUUGAGUGAAGUAGAGGCAGGCGGAAUUCGUAGGGUAGCGGUGAAAUGCGUAGAUAUUAGGAAGAACACCAAUGGCGAAGGCAGCCUGCUGGACAUUAACUGACGCUGAGGCGCGAAAGCGUGGGGAGCAAACAGGAUUAGAUACCCGAGUAGUC